RNAcentral lists this ribosomal RNA (900 nucleotides) under uncultured Moraxella sp. RNAcentral describes it as "bacterial SSU rRNA". It matches the Rfam family "Bacterial small subunit ribosomal RNA", at positions 72 to 968 of the family's 1533-position model. The record is from RNAcentral. Lineage: Bacteria; Pseudomonadati; Pseudomonadota; Gammaproteobacteria; Moraxellales; Moraxellaceae.
UUACCAGCUUGCUGGUAUGAUUAGUGGCGAACGGGUGAGUAAUGCUUAGGAAUCUGCCUAUUAGUGGGGGACAACAUUCCGAAAGGAAUGCUAAUACCGCAUACGUCCUAUGGGAGAAAGCAGGGGAUCGCAAGACCUUGCGCUAAUAGAUGAGCCUAAGUCGGAUUAGCUAGUUGGUGGGGUAAAGGCCUACCAAGGCGACGAUCUGUAGCUGGUCUGAGAGGAUGAUCAGCCACACUGGGACUGAGACACGGCCCAGACUCCUACGGGAGGCAGCAGUGGGGAAUAUUGGACAAUGGGCGAAAGCCUGAUCCAGCCAUGCCGCGUGUGUGAAGAAGGCCUUUUGGUUGUAAAGCACUUUAAGUGGGGAGGAAAAGCUAAUAAUUAAUACCUAUUAGCCCUGACGUUACCCACAGAAUAAGCACCGGCUAACUCUGUGCCAGCAGCCGCGGUAAUACAGAGGGUGCAAGCGUUAAUCGGAAUUACUGGGCGUAAAGCGAGCGUAGGUGGUCAUUUAAGUCAGAUGUGAAAUCCCCGGGCUUAACCUGGGAACUGCAUCUGAUACUGGGUGACUAGAGUAGGUGAGAGGGAAGUAGAAUUCCAGGUGUAGCGGUGAAAUGCGUAGAGAUCUGGAGGAAUACCGAUGGCGAAGGCAGCUUCCUGGCAUCAUACUGACACUGAGGUUCGAAAGCGUGGGUAGCAAACAGGAUUAGAUACCCUGGUAGUCCACGCCGUAAACGAUGUCUACCAGUCGUUGGGUCUCUUGAAGACUUAGUGACGCAGUUAACGCGAUAAGUAGACCGCCUGGGGAGUACGGCCGCAAGGUUAAAACUCAAAUGAAUUGACGGGGGCCCGCACAAGCGGUGGAGCAUGUGGUUUAAUUCGAUGCAACGCGAAGAA